CCGGGAAAGGGCGGCGGGCCCGGGGGCCUGCGGCUGCCGGGGAAAGGACCAGGGAUUCCGGGGUUCCGGGGAGCGAGCCGCCGGCGAGCGCAGGCGAGGCGGAGGACGGUAGCCCCGGCAGGCCCCGGAUCCCCCGGUUCAACUGUCUUAAACAAAAAAGAAAAUGGAUUAUCUCGUAUAACAAUAAACCUGGAGCUCCUCACUGUAUCUCCUAAUAUCUUUGUAAUUUCUUAAUGAUAGGAGCUAUAGGAGCAACUUUUCCUGAAAUAUUGGGCUUAGUCCCUGACUGCUGAAACAGGUCCAGAAUGGUUGGAGUGCAGUGGUAUAACCACAGCUCAUUGCAGC
Long non-coding RNA from Cebus imitator (Panamanian white-faced capuchin), 345 nucleotides. RefSeq lists it as uncharacterized. Lineage: Eukaryota; Metazoa; Chordata; Mammalia; Primates; Cebidae. The record is from RefSeq and is a predicted model, not a curated record. The transcript is spliced from 4 exons.